CAGGCAAGAGGUCUCCGAGGCGCAAACGUCGGUCGAAGGAUAACCCAAAAGGCAAGGUCGGUAUUCAGGCAAAAGGUCGAUAAUCAUAAGGAGCUACAGAGAUUAAGGAGGAGGGAGACGGGACUAGGAGAGGACUGCGGGAUCGGGAAGGAGUGGAGGCAAUACAGCACUGCAGGCAUCGUCCCCUUUAUUCCAAAGAGCUGCGCCUUGUCAGGAAGAAGGAAAUGGCAGGAAGAGACACGAGCAAAAGAAAUUACAUUCAUAAACACGGUGAGUGUUCUAAACAUUUGUUAUUCAUUUAUGAACAUUGCUCUUUUAUUUUUAUUUGUAUUUUCUUUGCUUGUCUAUUUUCAAAAAUGUAAUGGAGCAAAUAUAUCCUGUCUUUACUGCGCUCAGCCAUCAGUUACUGGUAAAUGUGCUGUAACAGGGUAGCGAAUGCAGGACCAGAUCAAUUCAGCUCACUUCCACAGUGCUUACAGGUUGUGUCUGGUGUUCCUAUAAAUUGGUGAUCGCUCAGGAUGUUGAACAUUGCACAUUUUAAUGCCCUAAAUAUGUCAACAGUUGCCAUUGAUGGAGGCAGUUUAUUUGUAUUUCACAUUAGUUUAAAUUUUACUGUAGAUCAAAGUCAAUAAAACUGCUCUUUUUUUUUUUUUUUUUUUUUUA
Molecule: long non-coding RNA, 663 nt
Filed under: Scleropages formosus (Asian bonytongue)
Lineage: Eukaryota; Metazoa; Chordata; Actinopteri; Osteoglossiformes; Osteoglossidae
Description: lncRNA (ENSSFOG00015027149.1)
Source: RNAcentral